This 253-nucleotide ribosomal RNA is filed under the name uncultured bacterium. RNAcentral's name for it is "partial 16S ribosomal RNA". It matches the Rfam family "Bacterial small subunit ribosomal RNA", at positions 524 to 776 of the family's 1533-position model. The record is from RNAcentral.
UACGUAGGGUGCGAGCGUUAAUCGGAAUUACUGGGCGUAAAGCGUGCGCAGGCGGUUUUGUAAGCCGGAUGUGAAAUCCCCGGGCUUAACCUGGGAACUGCAUUUGUGACUGCAUAGCUAGAGUACGGUAGAGGGGGAUGGAAUUCCGCGUGUAGCAGUGAAAUGCGUAGAUAUGCGGAGGAACACCGAUGGCGAAGGCAAUCCCCUGGACCUGUACUGACGCUCAUGCACGAAAGCGUGGGGAGCAAACAGG